RNAcentral lists this long non-coding RNA (633 nucleotides) under Cricetulus griseus (Chinese hamster). RNAcentral's name for it is "lncRNA (ENSCGRG00015037842.1)". The record is from RNAcentral. Lineage: Eukaryota; Metazoa; Chordata; Mammalia; Rodentia; Cricetidae.
CUUCCGGUUUGGCUUCGGCCGCCCCUCAACUCCUCUCCUUCCCCCCCCUCCGCCUCCUCGUCUCCCUCCCGCUCCUGGGAAAGCGGAUCCGUCGCUUUAAGGGUGGCUGAGAGAAGCGGCGUCUCGGGGAGGGGACCGCGCCCGCCCCCUUGGAACCACGGAGCGUGGCCGAUACAGAUUCCUGAAAUCUGUUGCUUAAAGCUGCAAGACUACCAGUCGUCAAAAGCAUCAGAGUUCUUGAGAAGGAUAAGAUUUUACCUGAAUCAGUGAUUAAAGAAUAACAGAGACUUGCCAGAAGGCUGCAUGGACAGCCAUCCCCAAGGUUCUCCAUCCAUAGUAGCGGGCUGCAGAACAACUGCCUUCUUGCUGAUAGCAUGUGACCUGUGGAUUACAGACUAUAGGAAGACUCUCGCCUGCCAUUGGCUCAAGCAACGCGGGGAAAGUCGAUUCCACUGUCCUCUUGUCCAAGAAAGGUUCCUCUAUGCAUUUCCCAUGGGUGAGGCAAGUGGAAAAACCGGCAAAAGCUCAUCCUCUCUGGAUGCCUGUCGGCCCGAGGGAAUUGCCAGAGGCCUGGCCCCAAAGGGUACACAGCUAUCUCCAAAACGAAAAGGACCCAGUGCUCCGAAGCAAAAC